CGAAGAUCGAGAAGCCAAACGUUUAUCUAUAAUCGAACAGUUAGACAGACCCGUGUACACGACCGCGAUUCCCACGUUCGUUUAUUUCCAGCCCGGCAAGGAAAACUUGAAAAAGCAUCCAACUAGGCGAAUAAAUUUGCACGGCACAGGCUCAGAUGCGAUCUGCCGCUGUACAUCAUCGAGACAACGAAGAUCGAGUAAGAGGGUACGAAACGUACGAGCGACGCGGCGGUAAUACGUCGAUUUGCUAGAUUGCGCGCUAGUCGUUCGCCUCGCGAGAGCAUCCAACUGUAUCUGUAUUCCAUCGACGAUAUCGUCAUUUUCACGAACAACUUCGUACACGUAGGCAGAUCGUGUCCUCGGCC
RNAcentral lists this unclassified non-coding RNA (365 nucleotides) under Bombus terrestris (buff-tailed bumblebee). RNAcentral's name for it is "misc RNA ENSBTSG00005027300.1". Lineage: Eukaryota; Metazoa; Arthropoda; Insecta; Hymenoptera; Apidae. The record is from RNAcentral.